RNAcentral lists this unclassified non-coding RNA (355 nucleotides) under uncultured fungus. RNAcentral's name for it is "partial contains 5.8S ribosomal RNA, internal transcribed spacer 2, and large subunit ribosomal RNA". The record is from RNAcentral. Lineage: Eukaryota; Fungi.
AACGCACAUUGCGCUUCCUGGUAUUCCGGGGAGCAUGCCCGUUUCAGAAUCAUAAAACACUCUCACUCUCACCCCGUGCUCCUAACAAGCAUGGGGUUUUUGGGUGGAUGUUGGACGACAUGUGGUUUAUUGGCUGCAAUCGUCUCAAAGUGAUGGCAUAUGCUCCACUUCCUAAGUAAGUUGGCCAGCAAGGUGCAACAGAUGUAAGUCUUUGAACACAUUGUUGCUGAUGGAAAUGGAUCUGGUUGCAUGCAUUCCCCUUACAGCCCCAGUCAGUUAUCAGUGCAGAGAUGCUCUGUGAAAACUGGGAUCAAAACAUGGUCUGAAAUCGGGCAAGAAAACCCGCUGAACUUAA